This 257-nucleotide ribosomal RNA is filed under the name uncultured Basidiomycota. Its description in RNAcentral is "partial 18S ribosomal RNA". It matches the Rfam family "Eukaryotic small subunit ribosomal RNA", at positions 624 to 886 of the family's 1831-position model. The record is from RNAcentral. Lineage: Eukaryota; Fungi; Basidiomycota.
AAGCUCGUAGUUGAAUUUCGAAUGUGGCUGGGCGGUCCACCUCACGGUGUGUACUGUCUGGCUGUGUUCUCUUUCUUGGUGAGCCGGCAUGCCCUUUACUGGGUGUGUUGGGGAACCAGGACGUUUACCUUGAGAAAAUUAGAGUGUUCAAAGCAGGCCUACGCCCGAAUACAUUAGCAUGGCAUAAUAAAAUAGGACGUGCGGUUCUAUUUUGUUGGUUUCUAGAGCCGCAGUAAUGAUUAAUAGGGAUAGUUGGG